CAGGCCUAACACAUGCAAGUCGAACGAAGCACUUUCUUUAGAUUCUUCGGAUGAAGAAGACUGUGACUGAGUGGCGGACGGGUGAGUAACGCGUGGGCAACCUGCCCUGUACCGGGGGAUAACAGUUAGAAAUGACUGCUUUNNNCGCAUAAGCGCACGAGGACGCAUGUUCUUGUGUGAAAAACUCCGGUGGUACAGGAUGGGCCCGCGUCUGAUUAGGUAGUUGGUGGGGCAGCGGCCUACCAAGCCGACGAUCAGUAGCCGACCUGAGAGGGUGACCGGCCACAUUGGGACUGAGACACGGCCCAAACUCCUACGGGAGGCAGCAGUGGGGAAUAUUGCACAAUGGGGGAAACCCUGAUGCAGCGACGCCGCGUGAAGGAAGAAGUAUUUCGGUGUGUAAACUUCUAUCAGCAGGGAAGAAACUGACGGUACCUGACUA
RNAcentral lists this ribosomal RNA (442 nucleotides) under uncultured bacterium. RNAcentral's name for it is "bacterial SSU rRNA". It matches the Rfam family "Bacterial small subunit ribosomal RNA", at positions 43 to 485 of the family's 1533-position model. The record is from RNAcentral.